This 329-nucleotide ribosomal RNA is filed under the name uncultured bacterium. Its description in RNAcentral is "bacterial SSU rRNA". It matches the Rfam family "Bacterial small subunit ribosomal RNA", at positions 568 to 898 of the family's 1533-position model. The record is from RNAcentral.
UAUGUAGGCGGUUGCUUAAGUUUGGUGUGAAAUCUCCCGGCUCAACUGGGAGGGUGCGCCGAAUACUGAGUGACUCGAGUGCGGGAGAGGAAAGUGGAAUUCCUGGUGUAGCGGUGAAAUGCGUAGAUAUCAGGAGGAACACCGGUGGUGUAGACGGCUUUCUGGACCGUAACUGACGCUGAAACACGAAAGCGUGGGUAGCAAACAGGAGUUAGAUACCCUGGUAGUCCACGCCCUAACGAUGCACAUUUGGUGUGGGUCAUUCAGUUGAUCCGUGCCGGAGCUAACGCGUUAAUGUGCCGCCUGGGGAGUACAGUCGCAAGGCUGAA